GAUGAACGUUGGCGGCGUGCCUAAUACAUGCAAGUCGAACGAAGACUGUAGUAAUACUGUCUUAGUGGCGAACGGGUGAGUAACGCGUGGGUGACCUGCCCCGAAGUGUGGGAUAACAGUCCGAAAGGAUUGCUAAUACUGCAUAAUAUCCAAGAGAUUAGAUGCUUUUGGAUUAAAGGAGUAAUUCGCUUCGGGAGGGGCCCGCGUCCCAUCAGCUAGUUGGUAAGGUAAUGGCUUACCAAGGCGAUGACGGGUAGGGGACCUGAGAGGGUGGCCCCCCACAAUGGAACUGAAACACGGUCCAUACACCUACGGGUGGCAGCAGUAGGGAAUAUUAGUAAUGGGCGAAAGCCUGAACUAGCAACGCCGCGUGUGCGAAGAAGGCCUUCGGGUCGUAAAGCACUUUUUGAGAGGAUGAGGAAGGACGGUACUCUCAGAAUAAGCCUCGGCUAACUACGUG
This 460-nucleotide ribosomal RNA is filed under the name uncultured bacterium. Its description in RNAcentral is "bacterial SSU rRNA". It matches the Rfam family "Bacterial small subunit ribosomal RNA", at positions 28 to 507 of the family's 1533-position model. The record is from RNAcentral.